GUCUGGAUUCAAUGUAUAAAAUAAAUAACCGCUGUUGGGAUGGCGCCUAAAUAUGUCUGCUCCUGGCACUCCUGUGAACAUGUUAGUAGGACGGCAAAUGUAAGCAAUAAGGAAAACAAUUAAUGCAAUUUUUUUUCCGCAUACAUUGAGAAUUUCAGCGUUUCAUCUCUGUAUUCAUAAUAUUGAACAGUCACUAGGGUGUGUAAAACGAAGCUAUUAGGCCGCAUCAUCCAAGUGCAUGUACCAACACUGACA
RNAcentral lists this long non-coding RNA (255 nucleotides) under Mytilus galloprovincialis (Mediterranean mussel). The record is from RNAcentral. Lineage: Eukaryota; Metazoa; Mollusca; Bivalvia; Mytilida; Mytilidae.